This 750-nucleotide long non-coding RNA is filed under the name Apteryx owenii (little spotted kiwi). RNAcentral describes it as "lncRNA (ENSAOWG00000001690.1)". Lineage: Eukaryota; Metazoa; Chordata; Aves; Apterygiformes; Apterygidae. The record is from RNAcentral.
AUGGUCGUACGUUUUCUCUUCUCCAUAGAGCAUUAUCAAAUGUUGCCAGGGAAUGACAAAACUUUCUCCCCUCUACGGUUCUCUGAGCUGCUGAAGUACAUAGUUUGUAAAGUCAAACAUGCUGUAAGAUUUUGGGAGUCAGCUGAAAAGGGCCUCUGUUUUAAGUAAGUUUAGCUGUGACCUUGAAGGAGACCUGUUCAGAUUCCAGGAGAAUGGCUUAUCUAGAGGUCGUGGAGCUGAAGCAGGUUAAUUAUAGAGCUAACAUAUAUAGAUUGUUUUUCCGCACAGAAGGCGGUAGGGCCUGUCAUAUAUAAGGUAAUAAUUCUAAAAAAGAAUGGAUAUUCGCUUAAGGCUUAUGUUCUGAUUUUCUUCAUAAGUGUAGGCAUCUUCUGUUGGAAAUCAGUACAGCUUCACUGUAUGAGUCGGGGACUGUAAAGAACCCCAAAGUAUCCAGUGAGUUUACUGUAUAGUAUAGAUCUUCUGAAUACAUGUGUUUCCUUGCCAAGAAGCUGGAAGUGGAUUGAAGGACCAAAUGUCCUCUUUUGUCUUAGAUUAAUAGAAGUUAUUCUGAUUUGACUAUAGCUGUAUUUGACACAAUGUGAUUGAGAGCUAUGGUAGUAUUAUAUCAGCAAUUGUAAAUACUGUACCUGUGUGUAUUUUUCACAAUGAUUUGGGUGAAGCAAAAUUUUGUUUUGAUUUACAAAACACCUAUUACAAUAUUUGAAAAGAGUUCUCUCUCUUGACUGUUAU